Molecule: transfer RNA, 73 nt
Filed under: Verrucomicrobiota bacterium
Lineage: Bacteria; Pseudomonadati; Verrucomicrobiota
Also listed under: 3 other names
Description: tRNA-Thr
Rfam family: tRNA
About the family: Transfer RNA (tRNA) molecules are approximately 80 nucleotides in length. Their secondary structure includes four short double-helical elements and three loops (D, anti-codon, and T loops).
Source: RNAcentral
GCCAACUUAGCUCAGUUGGUAGAGCAGCUGAUUUGUAAUCAGCCGGUCGUCGGUUCGAGUCCGACAGUUGGCU